Molecule: ribosomal RNA, 465 nt
Filed under: Vreelandella stevensii
Lineage: Bacteria; Pseudomonadati; Pseudomonadota; Gammaproteobacteria; Oceanospirillales; Halomonadaceae
Description: partial 16S ribosomal RNA
Rfam family: Bacterial small subunit ribosomal RNA
Source: RNAcentral
CCUACGGGGGGCUGCAGUGGGGAAUAUUGGACAAUGGGGGGAACCCUGAUCCAGCCAUGCCGCAUGUGUGAAGAAGGCCCUCGGGUUGUAAAGCACUUUCAGUGAGGAAGAACGCCUGGUGGUUAAUACCCAUCAGGAAAGACAUCACUCACAGAAGAAGCACCGGCUAACUCCGUGCCAGCAGCCGCGGUAAUACGGAGGGUGCGAGCGUUAAUCGGAAUUACUGGGCGUAAAGCGCGCGUAGGUGGCUUGAUAAGCCGGUUGUGAAAGCCCCGGGCUCAACCUGGGAACGGCAUCCGGAACUGUCAAGCUAGAGUGCAGGAGAGGAAGGUAGAAUUCCCGGUGUAGCGGUGAAAUGCGUAGAGAUCGGGAGGAAUACCAGUGGCGAAGGCGGCCUUCUGGACUGACACUGACACUGAGGUGCGAAAGCGUGGGUAGCAAACAGGAUUAGAUACCCGUGUAGUC